AUAUUUCUGGCUAGUCCUCAGAUUCUCUAUAAUAAAUAUCCUAAUUUAAACGAAAUAUAUACAUUAUAUGUGAGACAGAUGUUAAUUUCAAAUUAUAUAUUUGGAUAACAGUUUCCUAUUAUUACUUGAGAGCCUAAAGAGACAGAGAUGGACAUAAUCUCAGGACAAGCUCUGUUCCUCCUCUGUUGCUUUAUCUUAUCAUGUUUUCUUAUCUUCACCACCACACGAUCUCGACAGAUCUCUCGCAAGGCUACCGCGCUGCCUCCAGGACCUCCACGGUUACCGAUCAUCGGAAAUAUUCACCUUGUCGGGAAACAUCCACACCGUUCAUUCGCCGACCUCUCAAAAACUUAUGGACCAGUCAUGAGUCUUAAGCUUGGAAGUUUAAAUACAGUGGUUAUAGCUUCACCGCAAGCUGCAAGAGAGGUUUUACGAACACAUGACCAGAUUUUGUCUGGCCGUAGCCCCACUAACUCGAUACGGUCCAUCAAUCACCAAGAUGCUUCCCUUGUCUGGCUUCCUGCGUCGACGGCUCGUUGGAGGCUGUAUAGAAGACUGUCGGUGACUCAGCUAUUCUCACCACAGCGUCUCGAAGCCACGAAAGCCAUGAGGGCGAACAAGGUGAAGGAACUUGUGAGCUUCAUAAGUGAAAGCAGCGAUAGAGAAGAAUCGGUUGAUAUUUCUCGAGCAUCCUUCAUCACAACUCUUAAUAUCAUAUCGAACAUUCUGUUUUCCGCCGAUCUCGGUACCUACAACGCGAAAGAUUCUGUUAACGGAGUUCAAGACACGGUGAUUAGUGUUAUGGAGACUGUCGGAAAACCAGACGCUGCUAAUUACUUUCCAUUACUGAGGUUUCUUGAUCUGCAAGGUAAUAGGAAGACUAUGAAAGCUUGCACAGAGAGGUUGUUCAGGGUUUUCCGUGGGUUCAUUGAUGCUAAGAUUGCGGAAAAAUCAUCGCAGAGUAACCCUAAAGAUGUUUCAAAAAACGAUUUCGUAGACAACCUUCUGAAUUACAAGGGAGAUGAAGCAGAAAUCAACAUUAGCGAUAUUGAACAUCUUGUCUUGGAUAUGUUCACAGCAGGCUCGGAUACAAGCUCUAGUACCCUAGAGUGGGCAAUGGCAGAGUUACUUAGAAACCCUAAAACGAUGUUGAAAGCUCAAGCCGAGAUGGAUCGUGUGAUAGGACAAAACGGUAUGGUUGAAGACUCAGAUAUCUCAGAACUGCCGUAUUUACAAGCAGUUGUGAAGGAAACUUUCCGGCUACAUCCGGGUGCUCCGUUUCUUGUCCCGAGAAAAGCCGAAUCCGAUGUGGAGAUUCUUGGGUUCAUGGUGCUUAAAGAUACUCAGGUUCUAGUAAACGUGUGGGGUAUAGGACGAGACCCGAGCGUGUGGGAGAAUCCUACCCUGUUUGAGCCAGAGAGGUUUUUGGGGAAAGAAAUCGAUUUGAGAGGUAGAGAUUAUGAGUUUACACCAUUUGGAGCCGGACGUAGAAUUUGCCCGGGAUUGCCUUUUGCUGUGAAAACAGUGUCUCUUAUGCUUGCUUCUCUUCUCUAUUCCUUUGACUGGAAGCUACCAAACGGCGUCGUUUCUGAGAAUUUGGACAUGGACGAGACCUUCGGUAUCACUUUACAUAAGACCAAACCGUUACAUGCCAUUCCUGUCAAGAAACGCGUCAUUAAUUAAUACAUGAUGGCUAGGGCUUGAAGAAGUCAAAAAUAUCCAUAUUGAUGAUACUAGGCCUCGGUAUCAGCUUGCAAGGAAACGAAGAUGUUUCGGAGAAAACAACGAAGUUUCUCCAAACCAAUGCAGAUGACUGGACUAGUUAAAGGGGAGCUCUUGAUUACAAUGCUAGAUGGAAGUUUAAAGCUUGAAGUCUCAUUUCUCAAUGCAUGACUUAUUCCAGACAUUUUUCCUCUAUUGGCUGCUGCUCAGAAAGCACUUGUCUCCAACUCACGCGAUUCCUUAUCAACCCGAACUCUUCAUUCUGAGCUCGUUUACAAUUACUCUGGAUCUAAGCAUAUUACAGAAUCAUUAAAACGAUGUGGGAUUUCUGAAACUUCUACUUACAUUCUAUCUGCGUUGUUCAAUGCUUCACUCAUCGAGAUGGAAGAGGUAGCGAAGAGUUUCCAUGUCAUCGCAUCAAAUUCUUUCAGCAUUACAAGAUAACUAGCCAAGAACUUUGAGUUUUCUUAGAAGCUUCACAGGACAAGGACUGAUGUUUGCUUAUAGUCCCUCAGCCGUCUACCUUGGUGACUUGUGAAGUCACACACACGGUUCUGAUCAUUUUAGUUUGCCUUCCUAUAUUGUUGGUUUUGGUUUUAUAUCCUUCAAGGAAACAAACUGCUUUUAAGGUGAUCUAUUAUAUUGUUGGUUCUGCUA
This is a non-coding RNA of Camelina sativa (false flax), 2379 nucleotides long. Lineage: Eukaryota; Viridiplantae; Streptophyta; Magnoliopsida; Brassicales; Brassicaceae. The record is from RefSeq and is a predicted model, not a curated record.